AGAUUAAGUUAUUAAGGGCGCACGGUGGAUGCCUUGGCACUAGAAGCCGAUGAAGGACGUUACUAACGACGAUAUGCUUUGGGGAGCUGUAAGUAAGCUUUGAUCCAGAGAUUUCCGAAUGGGGAAACCCAGCAUGAGUUAUGUCAUGUUAUCGAUAUGUGAAUACAUAGCAUAUCAGAAGGCACACCCGGAGAACUGAAACAUCUUAGUACCCGGAGGAAGAGAAAGAAAAUUCGAUUCCCUUAGUAGCGGCGAGCGAAACGGGAAGAGCCCAAACCAACAAGCUUGCUUGUUGGGGUUGUAGGACACUCUGUACGGAGUUACAAAGGACGACAUUAGACGAAUCAUCUGGAAAGAUGAAUCAAAGAAGGUAAUAAUCCUGUAGUCGAAAAUGUUGUCUCUCUUGAGUGGAUCCUGAGUACGACGGAGCACGUGAAAUUCCGUCGGAAUCUGGGAGGACCAUCUCCUAAGGCUAAAUACUCUCUAGUGACCGAUAGUGAACCAGUACCGUGAGGGAAAGGUGAAAAGCACCCCGGAAGGGGAGUGAAAUAGAACCUGAAACCGUGUGCUUACAAGUAGUCAGAGCCCGUUAAUGGGUGAUGGCGUGCCUUUUGUAGAAUGAACCGGCGAGUUACGAUUUGAUGCAAGGUUAAGCAGUAAAUGUGGAGCCGUAGCGAAAGCGAGUCUGAAUAGGGCGUUUAGUAUUUGGUCGUAGACCCGAAACCAGGUGAUCUACCCUUGGUCAGGUUGAAGUUCAGGUAACACUGAAUGGAGGACCGAACCGACUUA
RNAcentral lists this ribosomal RNA (789 nucleotides) under Staphylococcus aureus. RNAcentral's name for it is "partial 23S ribosomal RNA". It matches the Rfam family "Bacterial large subunit ribosomal RNA", at positions 1 to 786 of the family's 2925-position model. The record is from RNAcentral. Lineage: Bacteria; Bacillati; Bacillota; Bacilli; Caryophanales; Staphylococcaceae.